CCUACGGGGGGCAGCAGUGAGGAAUAUUGGUCAAUGGACGAGAGUCUGAACCAGCCAAGUAGCGUGAAGGAUGACUGCCCUAUGGGUUGUAAACUUCUUUUAUAUGGGAAUAAAACGUUCCACGUGUGGGAUUUUGUAUGUACCAUAUGAAUAAGGAUAGGCUAACUCCGUGCCAGCAGCCGCGGUAAUACGGAGGAUCCGAGCGUUACCCGGAUUUAUUGGGUUUAAAGGGAGCGUAGGUGGAUUGUUAAGUCAGUUGUGAAAGUUUGCGGCUCAACCGUAGAAUUGCAGUUGAAACUGGCAGUCUUGAGUACAGUAGAGGUGGGCGGAAUUCGUGGUGUAGCGGUGAAAUGCUUAGAUAUCACGAAGAACUCCGAUUGCGAAGGCAGUUCACUGGACUGCAACUGACACUGAGGCUCGAAAGUGUGGGUAUCAAACAGGAUUAGAUACCCGAGUAGUC
This 460-nucleotide ribosomal RNA is filed under the name uncultured bacterium. RNAcentral's name for it is "partial 16S ribosomal RNA". It matches the Rfam family "Bacterial small subunit ribosomal RNA", at positions 338 to 795 of the family's 1533-position model. The record is from RNAcentral.